RNAcentral lists this ribosomal RNA (440 nucleotides) under uncultured bacterium. RNAcentral's name for it is "partial 16S ribosomal RNA". It matches the Rfam family "Bacterial small subunit ribosomal RNA", at positions 338 to 795 of the family's 1533-position model. The record is from RNAcentral.
CCUACGGGAGGCAGCAGUCGGGAAUAUUGCGCAAUGGAGGAAACUCUGACGCCGUGACGCCGCGUGCAGGAAGAAGGUUUUCGGAUUGUAAACUGCUUUAGACAGGGAAGAAACAAGACAGUACCUGUAAAAUAAGCUCCGCCUAACUACGUGCCAGCAGCCGCGGUAAACGUAGGGCGAACGCGUUAUCCGGAUUUAAUGGGGGUAAAGGGUGCGUAGACGGGAAGUCAAGUUGGUUGUGAAAUCCCGCGGCUUAACUGAAGGACUGCAACUAAAACUAACAUUCUUGAGUGCUGGAGAGGAAAGUGGAAUUCCUAGUGUAGCGGUGAAAUGCGUAGAGAUUAGGAGGAACACCAGUGGCGAAGGCGACUUUCUGGACAGUAACUGACGUUGAGGCACGAAAGUGUGGGGAGCAAACAGGAUUAGAUACCCCGGUAGUC